CUUUAUUGGAGAGUUUGAUCCUGGCUCAGGAUGAACGCUGGCGGCGUGCCUAAUACAUGCAAGUCGAGCGAAUGGAUUAAGAGCUUGCUCUUAUGAAGUUAGCGGCG
RNAcentral lists this ribosomal RNA (107 nucleotides) under Bacillus cereus. RNAcentral's name for it is "partial 16S ribosomal RNA". It matches the Rfam family "Bacterial small subunit ribosomal RNA", at positions 1 to 100 of the family's 1533-position model. RNAcentral also lists the same sequence under 1 other name. The record is from RNAcentral. Lineage: Bacteria; Bacillati; Bacillota; Bacilli; Caryophanales; Bacillaceae.